This 256-nucleotide ribosomal RNA is filed under the name uncultured bacterium. RNAcentral's name for it is "partial 16S ribosomal RNA". It matches the Rfam family "Bacterial small subunit ribosomal RNA", at positions 523 to 776 of the family's 1533-position model. The record is from RNAcentral.
AAACGUAGGGGGGCGAGCGUUGUCCGGAAUUACUGGGCGUAAAGCGCGCGCAGGCGGUCCUUUAAGUCUGAUGUGAAAUUCCGCGGCUCAACCGCGGGUGUGCAUUGGAAACUGGGGGGACUUGAGUGCGGAAGAGGGGAGCGGAAUUCCCGGUGUAGCGGUGAAAUGCGUAGAGAUGUGGAGGAACACCAGUGGCGAAGGCGGCUUUUUGGUCUGUAACUGACGCUGAGGCGCGAAAGCGUGGGGAGCAAACAGG